Molecule: ribosomal RNA, 802 nt
Filed under: Chryseobacterium sp. RI34
Lineage: Bacteria; Pseudomonadati; Bacteroidota; Flavobacteriia; Flavobacteriales; Weeksellaceae
Description: bacterial SSU rRNA
Rfam family: Bacterial small subunit ribosomal RNA
Source: RNAcentral
AUGGCUCAGGAUGAACGCUAGCGGGAGGCCUAACACAUGCAAGCCGAGCGGUAUAGAUCUUUCGGGAUCUAGAGAGCGGCGUACGGGUGCGGAACACGUGUGCAACCUGCCUUUAUCUGGGGGAUAGCCUUUCGAAAGGGAGAUUAAUACCCCAUAAUAUAUCAGAUGGCAUCAUUUGAUAUUGAAAACUCCGGUGGAUAGAGAUGGGCACGCGCAAGAUUAGAUAGUUGGUGAGGUAACGGCUCACCAAGUCUACGAUCUUUAGGGGGCCUGAGAGGGUGAUCCCCCACACUGGUACUGAGACACGGACCAGACUCCUACGGGAGGCAGCAGUGAGGAAUAUUGGACAAUGGGUGAGAGCCUGAUCCAGCCAUCCCGCGUGAAGGACGACGGCCCUAUGGGUUGUAAACUUCUUUUGUAUAGGGAUAAACCUACCCUCGUGAGGGUAGCUGAAGGUACUAUACGAAUAAGCACCGGCUAACUCCGUGCCAGCAGCCGCGGUAAUACGGAGGGUGCAAGCGUUAUCCGGAUUUAUUGGGUUUAAAGGGUCCGUAGGCGGAUGUGUAAGUCAGUGGUGAAAUCUCACAGCUUAACUGUGAAACUGCCAUUGAUACUGCAUGUCUUGAGUGUUGUUGAAGUAGCUGGAAUAAGUAGUGUAGCGGUGAAAUGCAUAGAUAUUACUUAGAACACCAAUUGCGAAGGCAGGUUACUAAGCAACAACUGACGCUGAUGGACGAAAGCGUGGGGAGCGAACAGGAUUAGAUACCCUGGUAGUCCACGCCGUAAACGAUGCUAACUCGUA